GCAAAUAUAGCUCAAGGGAUCUUAGUUGAAGAUCAACAUCUUAUUUCUUUAUUUGUUUUAAUCUUAUUUCUAAUCUUUUUGAUAAUUCCAAAGGGAGAGAAGUAUACUCUCAAGGGGAGUAUACUUCAAUCUUUUUCUUUUUAACCUCUCUUCUAAGUCACCUCCAUGAGGGAUGCUUUAUCAUCAUCAAAAGAGGUAGAACAUGGCUCUAUCUACUUAACAGAUUUAAUAGGUUUUGAUGAA
RNAcentral lists this long non-coding RNA (243 nucleotides) under Lathyrus oleraceus (garden pea). Its description in RNAcentral is "Pisum sativum (pea) long non-coding RNA (PSAT_LNC029031)". The record is from RNAcentral. Lineage: Eukaryota; Viridiplantae; Streptophyta; Magnoliopsida; Fabales; Fabaceae.